GAAACAAUCAAAUACUGGUUUAAAGUUCGUUUUCCUGAAAAUCAGGUACGAGGAAAAAGAGGCCAGUGCAUGUGCUUUUUGGAUAAGAGCAGUGGUGACUCAUAACUGCUGUUAUUCCCACUUUACAAACGGGAAGACUGAGGCAAAAGGAAGCAGUACCACGCUGUUGGCUGCUGUGGCCACUGAAAUCAAAUGAACGACCCAUGGACAGAUGGCUCUAGGCUCUUCAAUACAAAGAUGAUCCCGUGCAAACCCAGUGCCGCCGAGGUUGUUUGCUCCUCCUGAGGUAACCUUGGCAAGAAGAUCCUAUAGCUACCUCUGUGUCACCACUGAAGACAAAUUCUUGAAACAAUGAAUCGCCACUAUGAAGAGCAAGAGGGAGCACAUUCCUACCUGUGCUUCUUUUGUAAAGAACCUGAAGUGUAUUGAAGCAACAGGGCAGUGCAGCAUCCUUGGCUAGGAAGAUCAAGCCUUUGCACUGCGAGCUGGCGGACUGCAGUUAAAGGAGGAGUCAAAAGCAGGAUGAGUUUUGCUUUUCCAUUUGACUAUUUUUGACUAUGUGAAGUCUUCUGGGAGGUUAUUUGUGGGGAGGAGAAGGCUAUGAGCAUUUUGAGCUGAGCAUUUUCUUUAAGAAGAGUUGAUGAAGCAACACCACUUGUAGCAACAGCAGCUGCCACGUCCAUUCGCUUUGACCUGUGCUCUUCCUCCACGGUACACCCAGCUCACGUGGUGCUGCAGACGGCAUUUCACAUGAACAACGUAGCACUCUUUACUGUGGUGAGUAAUUUAAAGCAGAAAGGCAGGUCCAGUAAGGGAAUUGUGAAACUACUGUACUAGCAUGGAAGAUUGGAAUAUUUAAAUAACUGAAUAUUGUUAGUGAAAUAGCAUACAUAAAGCAAGCCAGAGUUUGUCCCUAUCGCUUACACCUUCCUUUGGUGGCUGUGGGAGUUCCUACAGAGCUUUCCCUGCUAUGAUAGUAAGAAAUAUGAUAACUGCAUAGUGCUAAGUCACAGCUAGGGAAGUUAUUCUUCCUGUAACACUCCUUGACCUUCUGCCACUCCUGGAAAGAUGCUCUCCCUGUUUCAUCAAGUACAAAUGAACCCUGGUCCUGGGAGAAUGAAUGGCAAAUGGGGAGGUCACUUGGCGGCUUUGUCUUCAUUCUUUACAUCCAUCCUGUGUGUAGGACACCAGUAGAUUAGGUUCUUUCCAAUAUUUUCCUGAGAAGGCAGCAACAACUGCUUUGAAAAGCACUUCUCAGCCACGUACUAUUACCUGGGAUAAAAAGGUUUGGAAGUCCUCCUGGUAGCAAUUCCAAGCUCUAAGCCUUGAUUCAGUUCCUGAAGCGUACAUGGAAAUUGUGUUAAUCCAUCAGUUUAAACAAACAUGCAGCUCAUUUCUGAACCUCUGAAAGCAGACUGAUACUGCGGGUACGCUGCAGGCCUCAAGCUUCCUCCAGAAUCUUUACUGGCUCUUGACUGUCAGGUCUAACAGCUGCAAGCGAUAUUUCCUUCUGACUGUGAGCAACACAGGACACCUAGCCCAUCCUAUCUGAUGCUAAUUUAGUUAUGGUGACUCACCCCUUCUACGAUUUCCAGGAAAUUGCUACAACAUUCUCCAGCUAUCAACACAAUCCCCAGGGGUCUGCAGAAAAUUUUGAUUCAGCGUUCUAGUUGCAGAGGAUGGUGGCUUAACUCCUUAUGUAUAACCAAAUCAAAGAAUGUAAUCCUAGCUACCAAAGCCUUUAAUGGGUGGA
This is a non-coding RNA of Phalacrocorax carbo (great cormorant), 1753 nucleotides long. The record is from RefSeq and is a predicted model, not a curated record. Lineage: Eukaryota; Metazoa; Chordata; Aves; Suliformes; Phalacrocoracidae.